UGAUGGAGUUGGGCUUCGGUCGAGGUAUUGGGGUUGUGGAAAAAGUAGUUCUGAGGGGAGUGGAGGGAUACAGGUAGCGCCAUGACCGUACUGAUGCCACUAAGUGGAUAGACCCUGCCUUCAGCUUAGAUCUCAAAGAGGGAGUGAUGCUUCCCAUCACAUCCACGGUGAAGAGUCCCUCUUUCUGCUCUAAGUGGCAGAUGUCACUCAGAUCUGGUGAGAGCAAGAAGCCACCAUGUACGAUGGCACAUCUUUCCUGGAAAGAUGGGUAAAAAGGAGUACCAGCAUUUUUGGCAGGCAGAGAUUAUCAAGAAAACAAGCCCUCCUUGACAACGCUGUGUUCAGUCCUGUUUCUCCAGGGGAGCUAAGAAAGCCAUCAGGUUGGAUGCUGAGGAGGCAGAAGAGGACAUCCAUGGAGCAUCAAAGUCAGUGUGGGCUGGAACCUGAAGAUAAGGCUUCUCGCGCACUUGGGUGAAUGUGGCUGGUUAAUGGUCAGUGUCAGUACACUUCAGAGAAAUUUAUAUUGAAAACACUUAGAGAAGAUCGUGACAUUGGACAGUGCUGCAACAGCCCCGUGUGGCCCUGUGUUCCGAUCGUUUACACGGACUGGCUAUCUUUUUGAGUUGAAGGCAAACAGCAAAGAGGAGACACAGCUGUGAUUACUCAAAGCACACAGAAGCCGUGAGUCCUGAAUCACGUGCGUGGUUAAAUGGGCAGGAACCUACAAGUAAAACAAACGGUGGGCAUAAGCUCAAGGAGAAAUGUGUGCUAAACUCAGGGAGCAACGUGCGCUAAAUUCAAGGAGCAAUGUGCGCUAAAUUCAAGGAACAACAUGCGCUAAGGUCGAGGAGCAACGUGCGCUUCCAGCUCAGCAAACUGCGGUUUUUGAAAACCACCAUCUCCAUCACCUGAGGUGUGGCUGCGGCCCUGGGUUCUCAGGUCUUCUUGAGCUAGAGCUGAAGGGCAGCUCCAGUUAGAACAAGAACAAACCCGAGAGACAAGCACCUGCCUCAGCACCACCCUACAGGAGACCCGGCUGUCUCUGGGCUGGGUGCUGUUUGGAGCUAAGGUUCAGAUUCAGCCACCACUCUCUUUGCCCUGCUUACUAGUGGAGCUCUUUGUGCUGGAAACUGGCGUUUCGAUGUGGUCUGAGGGUCACUUCAGCCUCAAACUCAACCACCAGAUCUUCCCAUCCAUGGACUGUGCCCUAGAGCUGUGAGCCCAAGUUCUCCUCUGGUGACACUCUGGGGAAGCUGGGAAAUUUUCAGAAGGUGGAUCCCCUCUGGAGGAAGUGGGUCACUGAGGUGGCCCUUGAGGCAAACUUCCUGUUUGCUUUCCGAGUGUAGAGGCCAUGUGAUCAUCUAGCCUCCUGCCCAUGCCUUCCUGGCUGCUGCUGGUCCCUGCUGUGACAGGCUGUGUCCCUCAGAGACUGUAAAACAAAAUAAACCCUUCCCCUCUGCAGCUCCUUUUGUCAACAUACCUUACUGAAGCAAUAAGAAAGUAACUAAGACAUACUUCAUAUGCAUCAGAGUGCUGUGGAUGCUAAGACUCCCCUCUGAAAUCAAUAGAUUUUAACACCGGAACUGGACUAUUGAACACACAGCCACAGUCCUUCAAUCUGUAGGUCUUCCUAAUGAAUCAAUUAAUUACUGUGCUUCAUUACUACAGCAAAUCAAACUGAACUGUGGAUCUUCUAACUAGCCACAGUUGCACUCAUCUAAUGACACCUCUAAUUAGUUCUUGCUACCACAAAAUUAAACUUACAGUUUUU
Mesocricetus auratus (golden hamster) is the source of this 1771-nucleotide long non-coding RNA. RefSeq lists it as uncharacterized. The transcript has 3 exons. The record is from RefSeq and is a predicted model, not a curated record. Lineage: Eukaryota; Metazoa; Chordata; Mammalia; Rodentia; Cricetidae.